This 198-nucleotide ribosomal RNA is filed under the name uncultured bacterium. RNAcentral describes it as "partial 16S ribosomal RNA". It matches the Rfam family "Bacterial small subunit ribosomal RNA", at positions 328 to 539 of the family's 1533-position model. The record is from RNAcentral.
ACGCUCGACACCUACGGGAGGCAGCAGUGGGGAAUAUUGCACAAUGGGGGAAACCCUGAUGCAGCGACGCCGCGUGAAGGAAGAAGUAUCUCGGUAUGUAAACUUCUAUCAGCAGGGAAGAAAAUGACGGUACCUGACUAAGAAGCCCCGGCUAACUACGUGCCAGUAGCCGCGGUAAUCUGAGCGGGCUGGCAAGGC